AUCUGCUUGAUUAAGUUCUGCGCCUGACAACUAGGAAAGGAUAACCCGUCAUACCAAAACAGUAUAAACGUUCAACUUAAAUUGGGAACUUGACCAUGUUCAAUUAAGGCAAGUGCACCUCAUACAGAUAAAUAAAGAAUGGCCUUUCAUCACUUGGGGUCAGCAGCUUAAUUCUCUAUCCGUUCAUUGACUAAUUAGAUUUCUGAGAUAAAGCACAAUACAAAUAGUUUAUCUAGUUACGUGAAAAGAAAAAAAAAA
RNAcentral lists this unclassified non-coding RNA (258 nucleotides) under Hevea brasiliensis (rubber tree). The record is from RNAcentral. Lineage: Eukaryota; Viridiplantae; Streptophyta; Magnoliopsida; Malpighiales; Euphorbiaceae.